AACGAACGCUGGCGGCAUGCCUAACACAUGCAAGUCGAACGAGAACUUCUGGUCUUUUGGCCCCCGGGUUCGUAACCCGUGGGGACCUUCCCUUAUGUUUGGAAUAACUCCCCGAAAGGGGUUCUUAUACCGGAUCAUUUCUUCUGACCAAAGAUUUAUCGCCUUUGGUUGGGCCCGCGUUUGAUUAGCUAGUUGGUAGGGUAAAAGCCUACCAAGGCGACGAUCCAUAGCUGGUCUGAGAGGAUGAUCAGCCACACUGGGACUGAGACACGGCCCAGACUCCUACGGGAGGCAGCAGUGGGGAAUAUUGGACAAGGGGCGAAAGCCUGAUCCAGCAAUGCCGCGUGAGUGAUGAAGGCCUUAGGGUUGUAAAGCUCUUUUAACCGGGAUGAUAAUGACAGUACCGGGAGAAUAAGCGCCGGCUAACUCCGUG
This 433-nucleotide ribosomal RNA is filed under the name uncultured bacterium. Its description in RNAcentral is "partial 16S ribosomal RNA". It matches the Rfam family "Bacterial small subunit ribosomal RNA", at positions 29 to 507 of the family's 1533-position model. The record is from RNAcentral.